AGUGGGCCUAAAAGCAGCCAUCUUUAAAAUUGCGUCAAAGCUUAAUUGUUCUCACGCUUAAUCACCAGAUUUUAAUCUUAAUCCCCAAUCAAUACUGGGUAAUUCUAUAAAGCUAUAGAAAAUUUUAUGUUAAAACUAGUAACAAGAAGAGGACUCUUCUCUUAAAUGUAAGUGUACAUCAGAAAGGACAAACCACUGAUACUUAACAUCCAUGAGUCUAAAGUAGUAACCAACCAAGAAAACUCUACUUCCACCUAUGUUAACCUAACACAAGAACAUUUAAAGAAAGAUUAAAAGAAAAAGAAGGAACUCGGCAAAUAUUAACCUCGCCUGUUUACCAAAAACAUCGCCUCUUGAAUUUUAUAAGAGGUCCAGCCUGCCCAGUGACUCUGUUCAACGGCCGCGGUAUCCUAACCGUGCGAAGGUAGCGUAAUCACUUGUUCUUUAAAUGUGGACUAGUAUGAAUGGCACCACGAAGGUUAUACUGUCUCCUUUUUCUAAUCAGUGAAACUAAUCUCCCCGUGAAGAAGCGGGGAUAAAGCUAUAAGACGAGAAGACCCUAUGGAGCUUUAAACAACAUAGCACUUGCCACACACCAUUAAAAUUCCAGAAUCUUCAAUUCUCUGAGCAAUAUGACUAUAAGUUUUUGGUUGGGGUGACCGCGGAGCAUAACACAACCUCCAUGUUGAAAGAAUCAUUUUCUAAGCUAAGAACUACAACUCUAAGCAUCAACAUAUUGACAUCCAUUGACCCAAUACACUUGAACAACGAACCAAGUUACCCUAGGGAUAACAGCGCAAUCCACUUCAAGAGCUCCUAUCGACAAGUGGGUUUACGACCUCGAUGUUGGAUCAGGGUUUCCCAGUGGUGCAGCCGCUACUAAAGGUUCGUUUGUUCAACGAUUAAACCCCUACGUGAUCUGAGUUCAGACCGGAG
Molecule: ribosomal RNA, 936 nt
Filed under: Bufotes viridis (European green toad)
Lineage: Eukaryota; Metazoa; Chordata; Amphibia; Anura; Bufonidae
Description: partial 16S ribosomal RNA
Rfam family: Bacterial large subunit ribosomal RNA
Source: RNAcentral